Molecule: ribosomal RNA, 642 nt
Filed under: Leptolyngbya sp. WUC490
Lineage: Bacteria; Bacillati; Cyanobacteriota; Cyanophyceae; Leptolyngbyales; Leptolyngbyaceae
Description: bacterial SSU rRNA
Rfam family: Bacterial small subunit ribosomal RNA
Source: RNAcentral
ACGCGUGAGAACAUGCCUUUAGAUUGGGGACAACAGUUGGAAACGACUGCUAAUACCGAAUGUGCCUUAGGGUGAAAGAUUUAUUGUCUAGAGAUUGGCUCGCGUCAGAUUAGCUAGUUGGAGUGGUAACGGCACACCAAGGCGACGAUCUGUACUUGGUCUGAGAGGAUGACCAGGCACACUGGAACUGAGACACGGUCCAGACUCCUACGGGAGGCAGCAGUGGGGAAUUUUCCGCAAUGGGCGAAAGCCUGACGGAGCAAUACCGCGUGAGGGAGGACGGCUUUUGGGUUGUAAACCUCUUUUAUCAGGGAAGAAUCGAUGACGGUACCUGAUGAAUCAGCAUCGGCUAACUCCGUGCCAGCAGCCGCGGUAAUACGGAGGAUGCAAGCGUUAUCCGGAAUUAUUGGGCGUAAAGCGUCCGUAGGUGGUUUAUCAAGUCUGCUGUCAAAGCGUGCGGCUUAACCGCAUAAGGGCAGUGGAAACUGAUGAACUAGAGUGCGAUAGGGGUAACAGGAAUUCCCAGUGUAGCGGUGAAAUGCGUAGAUAUUGGGAAGAACACCAGCGGCGAAAGCGUGUUACUGGGUCUGCACUGACACUGAGGGACGAAAGCUAGGGGAGCGAAUGGGAUUAGAUACCCCC